UCAGAACUGUGGGGACACAGAACCAAAGAAGAACCCGGGAAUGAAAAGACCGGGGCAAGCACUGGACUGGCUGGAAUGGCAAAUCCACCCAGCAACAGGAAGGUGUGACGCGUACCGAACACAAGUAGGGAAGUCUUCGUAGGGGCUGUCAAGAAAAGCCGCUAUUGUGUAAUAUGUGCCCGUACCGUAAACCGACACAGGUGGAUGAGGAGAGAAUCCUAAGGCCGGCGGGAGAAGCAUUGUUAAGGAACUCGGCAAAAUGACCCCGUAACUUCGGGAUAAGGGGUGCCUGGGAAACCAGGCCGCAGAGAAUAGGCUCAAGCAACUGUUUAGCAAAAACACAGGUCUAUGCAAAACCGAAAGGUGAGGUAUAUGGGCUGACGCCUGCCCGGUGCUGGAAGGUUACGAGGAGGGGUUAGCGGCAACGCGAAGCUCUGAAUUUAAGCCCCAGUAAACGGCGGCCGUAACUAUAACGGUCCUAAGGUAGCGAAAUUCCUUGUCGGGUAAGUUCCGACCCGCACGAAAGGCGUAAUGAUUUGAGCGCUGUCUCAACAAUGCACCCGGUGAAAUUGAAGUACCAGUGAAGAUGCUGGUUACCUGCGCCAGGACGGAAAGACCCCAUGGAGCUUUACUCCAGCUUGAUACUGGGAUUCGGUACUGCAUGUACAGGAUAGGUGGGAGGCUAUGAAGAUAGGACGCCAGUCUUAUCAGAGCCGAUGUUGGGAUACCACCCUUGCGGUAUUGGAUUUCUAACCUGCAGCCAUAACCUGGCUGGGGGACAAUGUCAGGCGGGGAGUUUGACUGGGGCGGUCGCCUCCGAAAGGGUAUCGGAGGCGCUCAAAGGUUCCCUCAGAAUGGACGGAAACCAUUCGAAGAGUGCAAAGGCAUAAGGGAGCUUGACUGCGACACCGACGGGUGGAGCAGGUAGGAAACUAGGACUUAGUGAUCCGGUGGUAUAAAGUGGGAUUGCCAUCGCUCAACGGAUAAAAGCUACCCUGGGGAUAACAGGCUUAUCACUCCCAAGAGUUCACAUCGACGGAGUGGUUUGGCACCUCGAUGUCGGCUCAUCGCAUCCUGGGGCUGUAGUAGGUCCCAAGGGUUGGGCUGUUCGCCCAUUAAAGCGGUACGCGAGCUGGGUUCAGAACGUCGUGAGACAGUUCGGUCCCUAUCCGGCGUGGGCGUAGGAUAUUUGAGAGGAGCUGUCCUUAGUACGAGAGGACCGGGAUGGACUGACCUCUGGUGUAUCUGUUGGCUAUCAAAGCCAUGGCAGAGUAGCCAAGUCGGGAAGGGAUAAACGCUGAAGGCAUCUAAGCGUGAAGCCCCCCUCAAGAUGAGAUAUCCCAUCGCAAGAGUAAGACCCCUUGAAGACGACGAGGUAGAUAGGGCAGAGGUGGAAGCAUGGCAACAUGUGCAGCUGACUGUCACUAAUAGGUCGAGGGCUUAACCAG
This 1448-nucleotide ribosomal RNA is filed under the name Lacrimispora sp. Its description in RNAcentral is "partial 23S ribosomal RNA". It matches the Rfam family "Bacterial large subunit ribosomal RNA", at positions 1458 to 2925 of the family's 2925-position model. Lineage: Bacteria; Bacillati; Bacillota; Clostridia; Lachnospirales; Lachnospiraceae. The record is from RNAcentral.